This 497-nucleotide ribosomal RNA is filed under the name uncultured bacterium. Its description in RNAcentral is "partial 16S ribosomal RNA". It matches the Rfam family "Bacterial small subunit ribosomal RNA", at positions 28 to 507 of the family's 1533-position model. The record is from RNAcentral.
GAUGAACGCUGGCGGCGUGCCUAAUACAUGCAAGUCGAGCGAACAGACGAGGAGCUUGCUCCUUUGACGUUAGCGGCGGACGGGUGAGUAACACGUGGGUAACCUACCUAUAAGACUGGGAUAACUUCGGGAAACCGGAGCUAAUACCGGAUAAUAUUUCGAACCGCAUGGUUCGAUAGUGAAAGAUGGCUCUGCUAUCACUUAUAGAUGGACCUGCGCCGUAUUAGCUAGUUGGUAAGGUAACGGCUUACCAAGGCAACGAUACGUAGCCGACCUGAGAGGGUGAUCGGCCACACUGGAACUGAGACACGGUCCAGACUCCUACGGGAGGCAGCAGUAGGGAAUCUUCCGCAAUGGGCGAAAGCCUGACGGAGCAACGCCGCGUGAGUGAUGAAGGUCUUCGGAUCGUAAAACUCUGUUAUUAGGGAAGAACAAACGUGUAAGUAACUGUGCACGUCUUGACGGUACCUAAUCAGAGAGCCACGGCUAACUACGUG